RNAcentral lists this ribosomal RNA (497 nucleotides) under uncultured bacterium. RNAcentral's name for it is "partial 16S ribosomal RNA". It matches the Rfam family "Bacterial small subunit ribosomal RNA", at positions 28 to 507 of the family's 1533-position model. The record is from RNAcentral.
GACGAACGCUGGCGGCGUGCCUAAUACAUGCCAGUUGAGCGCUGAAGGUUGGUACUUGUACCAACUGGAUGAGCAGCGAACGGGUGAGUAACGCGUGGGGAAUCUGCCUUUGAGCGGGGGACAACAUUUGGAAACGAAUGCUAAUACCGCAUAAAAACUUUAAACACAAGUUUUAAGUUUGAAAGAUGCAAUUGCAUCACUCAAAGAUGAUCCCGCGUUGUAUUAGCUAGUUGGUGAGGUAAAGGCUCACCAAGGCGAUGAUACAUAGCCGACCUGAGAGGGUGAUCGGCCACAUUGGGACGGAGACACGCCCCAAACGCCUACAGGAGGCAGCAGUAGGGAAUCUUCGGCAAGGGACGAAAGUCUGACCGAGCAACGCCGCGGGAGUGAAGAAGGGUGUCGGAUCGUAAAACUCUGUUGGUAGAGAAGAACGUUGGUGAGAGUGGAAAGCUCAUCAAGUGACGGUAACUACACAGAAAGGGACGGCUAACUACGUG